Molecule: long non-coding RNA, 3232 nt
Organism: Balaenoptera ricei (Rice's whale)
Lineage: Eukaryota; Metazoa; Chordata; Mammalia; Artiodactyla; Balaenopteridae
Exons: 5
Source: RefSeq, a predicted model, not a curated record
ACUCGUGGCUUGUCAUUCACAGCAAAGAGGAAAAAUAUUCUCUCUUCUCUUAUUUUCAGAUGCCAGGAUCUAAUGAUUAGAAUUUAACGUGACAGAAAUCUUACUUUAUUUUCUAGUGAUUAGUACCAUUCGAAGUGGUAUUAACAGAGCAACAUUAACUAAAAUCCUGUUUUCACAGAGUCAGAGCAUCUUUGAUGGGGCCAGAGUUCUGGCUGCUUCUUGAAGGAGAUUGUUUGUUUCAUUCGCAUCUUUAAAAACACUGGUGCCCACACUACAUCCUGGCACAAAGCUGGUGUUCAGUGCAUGUUUGCUCGGCACUGAAAGAGGAUCAAGGGCGCUCAAGGCUUCUGACCACAAAUUGAUGACAAUGUCGACAUGCCCGCAUGCACAGAGUCUAUGGCAAAGGAUUGCCACCCUCUUGAGACAUCCUUUCAAUUAUCCAGAGAUCCUGGGGCUUACAUGGUCCAAAGGGCAUCCGUUCUGCUUCCAAACAUGAGGCAAAGAGAAGGAGAACGGCGAUGACGGGGAUUUGGCUGAAACUGGAAGGCAGACUGCAGACUGUGGAUUCUUUUACCCCCUUAUCAUCUCUGGGAGCAAUCGUUACUUCUGAGUUAGGAAAAACAGCUUUCGGUCCUGCGACGUCCAGGGGCUCAUGGAGCAUCUUCUCUCCGGACGGGACGCAUCAGCCCCGUCCCUGCUCACAGUCACACUGUCUCCUGUGGGCCCAGCUCCUCCGCCUCCUUGAGGGUGAAUCUGCUCCCCGCCGUCCACGCACGUUUAGCAAAUUCAGGGGGAGAGUGUAAUGUGGCAGCCUGUGAAUAGGGCGCGUGUUCUGUGUGCAGGAGGCCGAGUGCACCGUGGGGACUGUGGCAAUCACAGUGGACCUGUCUCAUGUUCAUAGUUUUAGUUACGUAUGAAUAUGCCUUAGCUUAUUUCACAAAAUGUAGAAAUUAUAAGCAGGAAAACAGAAGCACGCAGAGCCUGCAUUUGUAGAUCUUUAACUGAAAUGCUUACAUUUGAGUGUGAUGCUUGGAUAAACAUUAGACAUGAGUGUGACUUUGGCUGGUGCUGAUGAAUUAUAAAUAAGAACAGUUUUCAGCUGAAAGAGAACAGGAUGAUCAUUUUACUACUUAACAUCCCUGCUAAUUUGACCUUUGGAGGCGUCAAUGGUUGCAUCCUGUAUUCCAGCUUGCAGGAACACAGGAACGGUUUUCUUCCUAAUUCCUUUGGUGGCUUGACGGUCUGUGUUCAUAUAACUGGAUUGAGCUCUGGAACCUGGCUGAGAAAUACUGGACCGUGAUUCAUGAGAGGCAAUAUCGUUGGGUCAAAAGUCCACGGGCUUCGGAUUGAGAAGGAUCCAGGUUCAAGUUCAAAUUCUGCAGUUUACUGUCUACAUGAACUUUAUUGGACCGUUUCUCUUUCCGGGUCCCUGAACCCAGGACAAAUGAAAAGACUCAGAACAGUUAGUUCAGGGGUUGGUUGAGGAGGUAGAAGUACACCCACGGGGUAACAAGGAAGAUGCCACAGUCAAGUGGUGACGCACGGGGAACACUGACUCUGAGAGAGAGCAGAACACCUUGGGAUUGUGAGGAAGCUUACACACUGCUCCUGACAUGAUACAUCCACAGUGGUUUGUACCAUCUUUUCAUCACUGAGACAGAAAUGGCCACAGCGCAGAAGAUUCUCAUAUGCUGGGGCAUUGCUAGCACUUUCCUGUGUUCAGUAUUAAAGCCACUGGGUGUUUUAAGUAGACCAAGGACCCCCGAAUAUUCAGCUUCCUGCUUCUGGGACGCUGGCCCAACUCUGGUUCCCUUGCCUGGGGGCCUUGGGCUCUCAGGGGAGAUGCUAACAGCGGGUGUCUGCCCUGCAGAGGAAGGUCCAGCUAAUGAGGGUCAGGCAGGGAGGGGUCCGGGCAGAGGAGGAUGGGAUGGGGGCGUCUGCCUUCACUCCCUCCAGCCCCAUCCACGAGCCCUGAGCAUGUAGAGAAGAGAGAGCCCACCGCUCCAUCCUGAGGGCUCUCCAGGUUGGGGGCAGCAGCCCCGGGAAGGUGGUGGCCUGAGCACCAUGACCGGACACGAGGCCCCUUUGAGAAGUUGCCACCAUCUGAGAGGACACCCUCCUCUGACCUGUUUCACAGCAGAGCUGACUUGCGGUGACUCUUGCAGGACUCGGGGACUUCCUGGGGGACAGAAGUCUCCAGUGCCGACUUCCCUGAGCUUCUGUUUUCUCACUGCAGCCUGGGAGGGGACAUCCUUCCACAGGGCUGUGGUGAGGCUUGAGCUCAGGUUCCCCUCCUGCCUUGGCCGCCUCACCCCACACGUGCUCUCCUGCCCAUCCCCAAAGCUCACCACCUCCCGCUCGCCCUUCCACAUUCGGGGUUCCUCCUCCGAGACCCCCAGGACUUUGGGCCCGACUUGGUUUUCCUCCAGUGGUUCCUGCCCUGCUCCACCGCUGCGCCUGUGGACCGCCCUCCCUACACCCACAUCCAGGCUGAUGGAUUGCUUGCACCCCCCUGCCCUAACCUCUGUCUCACUUCCAGAAGCCACUCAAGGACACACCUGGGCCUGGGGAACUGCUCUCCCUCAGGAAGGCCCCUUGCUAACGACAUGCUCUGCCCUCCCCGUGUCCCCCACACCCUCACCGAGCACGGCGGCCACUCCAUCCUGUGUCCAGGGCUUUGGUCAGCCUGGUCCUCAACUCCACGCCCCACGCGUCUCACCUCCACGCCCCACGCGUCUCACCUCUGUCCUUCCAGCCCUGGACACAGAGUAUAAUUAAAAUUCACUCUCACCGCCCCAUCAAUGUUCUUAACUCACUCACUCUAGAAAUGUUUACUGAACGACAAGGCUAUUCAAAACCAUCUCUUCCACUUCCUUCUCUUGCAUCUUCACAUCCACUUAUAGCCCCCCCUCCUUGGCUUAGUCACUCGUUAUACGCCCAUGUUUUAUGAACUCUAAGCAAUAUUGAUCAUAAAAUGUACCAUUACAUUAUGAGCCACAGAAAAUGAAAAAAAUGCUGCCAAUAAACAUUGAGAACUGCCAUCAAUUGUUAAGAUGUGUUCUGUUUUCAGGACUGUUAAAAUAUGAAAAAAUAAGCAUCUGAUAACAUACAAAGCAACGGUGUUUUUGAGAUCAAUGCUGAGACACCUCCCAAUCUUCCUUUCCUUCAGACGCUAAACUUCUAGAAAUAGACUGAGCUGUCAAUUUCUGCUUUCCUUCUUCCCAGGUAUUCU